This 426-nucleotide ribosomal RNA is filed under the name uncultured bacterium. Its description in RNAcentral is "bacterial SSU rRNA". It matches the Rfam family "Bacterial small subunit ribosomal RNA", at positions 354 to 796 of the family's 1533-position model. The record is from RNAcentral.
GUAGGGAAUCUUGCGCAAUGGGCGAAAGCCUGACGCAGCGACGCCGCGUGGGGGAUGAAGGCCUUCGGGUUGUAAACCCCUUUCAUGAGGGAAGAACACUGACUUAACCUCAAGAAGAAGCACCGGCUAACUCCGUGCCAGCAGCUGCGGUAAUACGGAGAGUGCGAACGUUGUUCGGAUUUACUGGGCGUAAAGGGCACGUAGGCGGCCCGGCAAAUCAGUCGUGGAAUUCCGCCGCUCACCGGCGGAACGGCGGCUGAAAAUACCGGGCUAGAGGGCGUGAGGGGUCGCUGGAACUCCUGGUGAAGCGGUGAAAUGCGUAGAUAUCAGGAGGAACGCCGGAGGCGAAAGCGAGCGACUGGCGCGUUCCUGACGCUGAGGUGCGAAAGCCAGGGGAGCAAACAGGAUUAGAAACCCCAGUAGUCC